Aegilops tauschii subsp. strangulata is the source of this 1157-nucleotide long non-coding RNA. RefSeq lists it as uncharacterized. Lineage: Eukaryota; Viridiplantae; Streptophyta; Magnoliopsida; Poales; Poaceae. The record is from RefSeq and is a predicted model, not a curated record.
ACCCUUUUCCCUUUCGCCCUGCCGCUUCCCCUCUUGGCCGGAGGCUCCUCCCUCGCGGCAGCGACCAAUACGGCGAGACGCCGCGGCCGCGCGAGCGCCCGCGAGGUCAGCGGCGAAUAGGGCGAGGCGCCGCGGCCGCGCAAGUGCACGCGAGGUCAGCGGUGAUUACGGCGAGGCGCCACGUCCGCACGGGCGGCAGCGGCCAAUACGACGAGGCGCAGCGGCCGGACGGGCCCCACGAGGUCCAGGGGCGGCUGCAGCCAAUUCGGCGAGGCGGCGGCUGUCCGGUGGCCGUACGUCCUCCUGCCUGGGCUCGAACUCCCGCCGUGCGUCCCCACCCGCAUCACCAAGCUUCCCAGCGCCGUCCGCGUCGCCUCCGAGGAUGUCCCGGUCAGAGUUGAAACAGACCCACAAGACAGAACUCAGCUCUGGAUAGGUCUUCGGGAGCUGAGUUAUUUUACCUCAGUUUACCCCCUUUAGCAGCCACCAUUAUCUUUUCCUGGCACUCCUUUUGAACAUUGUUCAAAGAAAUCAGCAGCUGCCAUUAUUUUACAUCAGUUUACCCCCUUUUAGUAAAAACAGACAACUCAUUGUCUCGCUACUCCUAAUUUUUUAUUGUGCUUUUGUGUAGGAGGAGAAAUUGAUCCUUAGACUACAAAAACAACAGAACAGCAGGGAUGAUAUUCAGGUUGACAUAUCUGAAAAGAGCCCAAGAAUACUACAAAUGGGUUCGACAUGGGUUGAACAUAGGGGUUCUUGGCCUGAGCAUGCAAGUGUAUGGCCGGGACAGUCGUUACGUGAUUAAUAUGUUGGGAAAAUCAGUAAUGGUCGAGCAAACCGAAAAGGAGAGGCUGAAUCUUCUCCCGCAAAGUUACUGGUCAGGAUACUAUGUCGAAUGCGACAUUGCUUCACUAUUCCAAAAGGCAUUUGAAACUCCAAUGGCGUUAUCUGUUCACCUGAGGGAGAGAAUGAUAGGGUUCCAGCUUGACCGAAUUGACAUCGUAUUUUUGUAGUCCAACAUACGAGCCAUAUAAUUCUAUAGUCUCCAUGCAAAUUCCAUUUCUUUUCUAUUUUCAGUCAAAAGUCAACAUAACAUUUUUGAGGUAAUAUCGUUUUUAUUUUUGGAUCAAUGAACAGGGCUUUUUUUUCACCCUUAA